RNAcentral lists this ribosomal RNA (404 nucleotides) under uncultured bacterium. RNAcentral's name for it is "bacterial SSU rRNA". It matches the Rfam family "Bacterial small subunit ribosomal RNA", at positions 355 to 776 of the family's 1533-position model. The record is from RNAcentral.
UGGGGAAUAUUGGACAAUGGGGGGAACCCUGAUCCAGCGACGCCGCGUGAGUGAAGAAGUGCUUCGGCAUGUAAAGCUCUAUCAGCAGGGAAGAAAAUGACGGUACCUGACUAAGAAGCCCCGGCUAACUAUGUGCCAGCAGCCGCGGUAAUACAUAGGGGGCAAGCGUUAUCCGGAUUUACUGGGUGUAAAGGGAGCGCAGACGGCGAUGCAAGUCCGGAGUGAAAAUCUGAGGCUCAACCUCAGAAUUGCUUUGGAAACUGUGUAGCUUGAGUAUCGGAGAGGUAAGCGGAAUUCCUAGUGUAGCGGUGAAAUGCGUAGAUAUUAGGAGGAACACCGGAGGCGAAGGCGGCUUACUGGACGAAAACUGACGUUGAGGCUCGAAGGCGUGGGGAGCAAACAGG